AACACAUGCAAGUCGAGCGGAAAGGCCCUUUCGGGGGUACUCGAGCGGCGAACGGGUGAGUAACACGUGAGUAAUCUGCCCUGCGCUCUGGGAUAGCCACCGGAAACGGUGAUUAAUACCGGAUAGGACCACUUCACGCAUGUGAUGGUGGUGGAAAGUUUUUUCGGCGCAGGAUGUGCUCGCGGCCUAUCAGCUUGUUGGUGAGGUAACGGCUCACCAAGGCUUUGACGGGUAACCGGCCUGAGAGGGUGACCGGUCACACUGGGACUGAGACACGGCCCAGACUCCUACGGGAGGCAACAGUGGGGAAUAUUGGACAAUGGGCGGAAGCCUGAUCCAGCAACGCCGCGUGAGGGAUGACGGCCUUCGGGUUGUAAACCUCUUUCAGUACCGACGAAGCGAAAGUGACGGUAGGUACAGAAGAAGGACCGGCCAACUACGUGCCAGCAGCCGCGGUAAUACGUAGGGUCCGAGCGUUGUCCGGAAUUAUUGGGCGUAAAGGGCUCGUAGGCGGUUUGUCGCGUCGGGAGUGAAAACACCGGGCUUAACUCGGUGCCUGCUUUCGAUACGGGCAGACUAGAGGUAUGCAGGGGAGAAUGGAAUUCCUGGUGUAGCGGUGAAAUGCGCAGAUAUCAGGAGGAACACCGGUGGCGAAGGCGG
This 660-nucleotide ribosomal RNA is filed under the name uncultured Actinomycetes bacterium. Its description in RNAcentral is "bacterial SSU rRNA". It matches the Rfam family "Bacterial small subunit ribosomal RNA", at positions 50 to 724 of the family's 1533-position model. The record is from RNAcentral. Lineage: Bacteria; Bacillati; Actinomycetota; Actinomycetes.